UACGUAGGGUCCGAGCGUUGUCCGGAAUUAUUGGGCGUAAAGGGCUCGUAGGCGGUCUGUCGCGUCGGGUGUGAAAACUUACAGCUUAACUGUGAGCGUGCUUCCGAUACGGGCAGACUUGAGGUAUUCAGGGGAGAACGGAAUUCCUGGUGUAGCGGUGAAAUGCGCAGAUAUCAGGAGGAACACCGGUGGCGAAGGCGGGUCUCUGGGCCGAUACUGACGCUGAGGAGCGAAAGCGUGGGGAGCAAACAGG
This 253-nucleotide ribosomal RNA is filed under the name uncultured bacterium. RNAcentral describes it as "partial 16S ribosomal RNA". It matches the Rfam family "Bacterial small subunit ribosomal RNA", at positions 524 to 776 of the family's 1533-position model. The record is from RNAcentral.